AUGUCUACUACUCGUUUCAAACGCUGCACGCAGUGCGCUGCUAAAAUUCCUGAUUCAGACGGCCACGCCAAGUGCCUCUUCUGUCUUGGCGAGGCUCAUGUGGUCGGUACCUGCCGCUUCUGCCUAGCUCUCACGGCUCAGGCCAGAAAGAACAAAGCCGCUAGGCUCAGAGCGGCGCUCUACGAAAGAUCUCUCGCGCCAGAACCGACUCCGUCGACGUCGGGUACGUCGUCGUCUUCAGCUCUGAGAGCAAUGUCGGCGCCACCAGCUAAGCCUCCGACAGCUAAAGCCUCCUCGGUCUCGUCCAGGGCGUCCAGGACCUCCAGGGCCGCUAAACCAGUCAAGCCACCGUGUACUGUGACGACGGCUACCGUGUCGACCCGCUCCGGAAAGGUGGGGCCUUCCUCGACGUCGAGCUCUCUGGCUUCGGUGACCUCGAUCCGCUCUCGUAUCGGCUCCCCUCCGUCCUCCUCUGCUAUUAAAAUAGCCUUUAAGAGGGCUCACGAGGAGUCUCGUCGAGCGCAAUCUGACUCAGCUGUGGUUCCUCCCACACCUGGCAAGUCCUUGAGGGUUGCGUCCAAGCAACCGCCGACAAAAAAACGGCUGACUCAGCACUCCUCUUCCUCGGCUUCCUCAAGGAGGGACCUGCCGUCCUCCUCGGCAACCUCCUCGAGACGGUCUUCUCCAAUUGUGCCAGCCCAGAGGCCUAGAGAUGUUUCUCAAUCUCCAUUGCACCCCCUGUCUGACGGGGAGCUGCAGGACUCACCCCACCACUCUACCCAAACGGUGGUCAGGGUGCCGGUGCCGGAGCCUCUUGCGCCGCCUCACUCUUCGCGCCAACAGCUCUUCCCUCCCACCUCGACACCGGAGCGUGGCAGACAAACGGCUCGCCUGGCUCGAGCAGCCCAGGCCUCAGCCUCUAAAGAUCCUCGGCUCCCGGCCCUCUCUUCCCGUGAGGCCAUGCCUCCCCCCGAGACUGUGCUUUCUUCUCCCUCUCAGUCCCCCCAAGGGGCUGAGGAGGAAGAUGUUGACAUUGACCGCCCAGACUCUGUCCUCUCGGCUUCGGUAGUCUCUCUCGGACUCGACCUCUCUCCUCCUCACGAUGCGUAUGAGGCAGACCCGCCUUCUCCUACUGACAAUAUUCGUGCUUUCUCUGAUCAAAUGGUCAGAAUGGCCGACGCCCUGGGUUUGGAGAUCAAGCAGACUUCCAAAGCAGUGUCUGAUCCAGUUUUCAAAAGGGUGCAGGCCCAAGCUCCGCCGGCCACGCUACUCCCUUUCCUGCCUUAUCUCUUGGACGUUAUCCAGGCCUCCUGGAAAACCCCUUCCUCCAUACCCCCGACCUCGAAGAGGAUUGAGACUUGGUACCGUACCGACGACGAUACCUUGGAGUGGCUGAAACACCACCCCACCCCAACUCCUUGGUCGUCAAGGCCUCCCAAUCCUCAGGUCGUCAGUCGAACACUCCGGCCGACAGAGAAGGGAAGCGCUUCGACGCUGUGGGUCGAAAGCUUUACUCCGGAGCCCUUUUACUUUGCCGGAUGGCAAACUAUGGAGCCUGCAUGGGUGCCUACCAGCAGAUUAUCUGGGAGAAUGCACAGCCCUUCUUCGCUAAACUGUCAGACGAAGACCGCUCCGUCCUUACCACCCUCCAACAGGAGGCUGACUCACUUGCCCACCAUCAAAUCCAGAUGGCGAAACAUACCGGGGACACGGCGGGCAAGAUGA
Molecule: long non-coding RNA, 1725 nt
Organism: Anolis carolinensis (green anole)
Lineage: Eukaryota; Metazoa; Chordata; Lepidosauria; Squamata; Anolidae
Source: Ensembl